This 234-nucleotide ribosomal RNA is filed under the name uncultured Eubacteriales bacterium. RNAcentral's name for it is "uncultured Clostridiales bacterium partial 16S ribosomal RNA". It matches the Rfam family "Bacterial small subunit ribosomal RNA", at positions 99 to 334 of the family's 1533-position model. The record is from RNAcentral. Lineage: Bacteria; Bacillati; Bacillota; Clostridia; Eubacteriales.
CGGACGGGUGAGUAACGCGUGAGUAACCUGCCUUACACAAGGGGGUAGCCGUUGGAAACGACGAAUAAUACCCUAUGAAACUAUCACUUCGCAUGAAGCGAUAGUCAAAGUGUUAGCGGUGUAAGAUGGACUUGCGUCUGAUUAGCUAGUUGGUGAGAAAAAGCCAACCAAGGCAACGAUCAGUAGCCGGCUUGAGAGAGUGUACGGCCACAUUGGGACUGAGACACGGCCCAG